RNAcentral lists this ribosomal RNA (586 nucleotides) under uncultured bacterium. RNAcentral's name for it is "partial 16S ribosomal RNA". It matches the Rfam family "Bacterial small subunit ribosomal RNA", at positions 355 to 1375 of the family's 1533-position model. The record is from RNAcentral.
UGGGGAAUUUUGGACAAUGGGCGAAAGCCUGAUCCAGCAAUGCCGCGUGUGUGAAGAAGGCCUUCGGGUUGUAAAGCACUUUUGUCCGGAAAGAAAUCCUUGGCUCUAAUACAGUCGGGGGAUGACGGUACCGGAAGAAUAAGCACCGGCUAACUACGUGCCAGCAGCCGCGGUAAUACGUAGGGUGCAAGCGUUAAUCGGAAUUACUGGGCGUAAAGCGUGCGCAGGCGGUUUGCUAAGACCGAUGUGAAAUCCCCGGGCUCAACCUGGGAACUGCAUUGGUGACUGGCAGGCUAGAGUAUGGCAGAGGGGGGUAGAAUUCCACGUGUAGCAGUGAAAUGCGUAGAGAUGUGGAGGAAUACCGAUGGCGAAGGCAGCCCCCUGGGCCAAUACUGACGCUCAUGCACGAAAGCGUGGGGAGCAAACAGGAUUAGAUACCCUGGUAGUCCGCGCCCUAAAACGAUGUCAACUAGUUGUUGGGGAUUCAUUUCCUUAGUAACGUAGCUAACGCGUGAAGUUGACCGCCUGGGGAGUACGGUCGCAAGAUUAAAACUUAAAGGAAUUGACGGGGUCAUAGCUGUUUCCU